This 253-nucleotide ribosomal RNA is filed under the name uncultured bacterium. Its description in RNAcentral is "partial 16S ribosomal RNA". It matches the Rfam family "Bacterial small subunit ribosomal RNA", at positions 524 to 776 of the family's 1533-position model. The record is from RNAcentral.
GACAGAGGUGCCAAGCGUUAGGCGGAAUUACUGGGCGUAAAGCGUGCGCAGGCGGUUCGCCAAGUCAGGUGUGAAAUCCCCGGGCUUAACCUGGGAAUUGCGCUUGAAACUAGCGGGCUUGAGUGUGGCAGAGGGGGGUGGAAUUCCACGUGUAGCAGUGAAAUGCGUAGAGAUGUGGAGGAACACCGAUGGCGAAGGCAGCCCCCUGGGUCAACACUGACGCUCAUGCACGAAAGCGUGGGGAGCAAACAGG